UACAGCCACUCACACAGCUGUUUCCAGCCAAGGUGAGGGUUUCCUCUUAACGGUGUCGUUUACAAGUCAAUAAAGCCCCGGAGCCCCGUUUCCGGCAGCCGGUCCCACCUCGGGGGCUCUGUUGUCUCGCCCGGCAGUCAGGGUGCCCAGGGCCCGGCUGGGGGCCUCAUUCCUGCCAUAAAGACCUCCUCUCCUCAGAGGGCAGAGUUCAAAGCUCUGGCUCCCCAGGACCCCGUCCUAAACCGUCGGCCCCGCCCUGCUUUAUGGCUCCCGCUCCCCUCCCCCGCUCCCCUUCCCGCAGCACAGAGCCCAGCCUGGGCUCUUAUCUGCCCCGGAGAUAAAGGCCCGGCUCUGGGAAGCCAAAGGCGAAGGCGCCCGGGCCACUGGCCCCUGCUCCCACCGCUCUGGGGUGAGUUUAAUGAGCUCGAAGAAAGAAGGCCUCUCUCAAACCGCAGAGAAGACACUCCCUCCGGGGCUGGCUUUCUGUCUUCUAGGGGGAGGGCCGAGGGGAAACCUCCGCGCUCUCAGGGGCUCCCUGCCUCCCCGGAGGCUUCCCCAGGCCAAGGCGAUAAUGAGGGUCUGCGCGGAGUGCCGCAUCGGAGAGCACUUGGCGAAAGUCUUGACAGAGCUGGGAACCCAUCAGAUGAUGAAACUGCUUCGUGGCUCAACUCGGUGACACGGCGUAUCCAGAGAGGACCGCUGGCUUUAUCCAGAGACGUCCUGGACAGUAGCCAUUUCCAUUGAGUUAAGGAAAAGGGACACAACUCCUUGCAAGACUGGCUCUGCUCUAUGACCUUGAACAAGUUCCUUCACACUCUGCAGCAGACCUCCCCUACAAUAGGGCAGUAGGAAUAUGUAACUCUCGAGGGCCCUUUUGGAGCUGACAGUCCCCGAUGCUGCGAUUCCGGGAGUUACAAAGGACCCUUGCCUAAUCAGUGGUAUGGAUCAAAAGAGAAGAUUAUUUGUGAACAUUGAGCUGCAGGAAAGGAGAAACGCCCUCCCCAGGUUGAUGGCUGCAGGAUUCAUCUGGCUUCAUCAGAAAAAGACCAUAAAGCUGUUUUGCAAAACAGGUUGAUUUCAAUGAAGCAUCUUGUGGAUUGAUAGACUCCUGGUCAGCGCAAGAAGAGUUUGGAUCCUUGACAAGAAAUGGUCUUUAUUAUUUAAAGUAUCAACAGGGCAGAAAGAUUCCAGUUAAGGUCCAUGUGCACUAGGAGAGGUUAUUUUAGCUAAGAUGUAAGAGAUUUACAGCUUUAUUCCUCCCGGGCCCACCCAGUACCUGGCCACCAUGUGCCAGACCCUGUGCCGAGGACAAAGAAACGACAUACCUCUUCCCCCGCAGACUGGGUCUGCCAAAGGGACAGUCAUAAAGAGGAUAGUAGUUUACCGCAUGCCGUAGUUCCGCGGGGAUCCACAGGCGUGUCGAGCCCGAAGGUGGCUUGAGCAAGAAUUAGCAUCUCCAUCUUACAAAAUGGUAACCGAGGCUCAGAGAGGUGCAUUCAUUUGUCCGAGGCCACGCAGCCAGGGAGAGGAAGAGAAGUUUGCAAAUUCUGAUCUUCUGACUCGUAGGCCAGAGCUCCUUCUAUCCACUUCCGUGCCUGUCUGCACCGGAGGACCCAAACCUGAGAGGUUAUCAUCCCUCAGGGACCCCUGCACGGAGUAGGUAGGUGCUCCACGAGGAUUUGUUAGCCAACUGGGUUCUUGGCUCCACUACUCUAGACAAAGGCUUGAUUGCUUCUUGUAAGCCCUUAAUUUACUUCUCUCCAGUUCUUUCAUACCGACUGUUUGUUAUAGGAUUGUGGCUUCUGCAAAUGGAAAAUCCUAAAAGACAUUGCUCCUGCAAUCUCCUUAAGCCUGCUGGUAUUCCAAGCACAAACCUCAAAACAUGCUGCUAAUUUCCUCCAAAAAAUCGUAAGCAUGUCUCUCCAUCGCAACGGCAGGAAGACAUAGCAGAGCCUUGGAAUUAGGCAGCACUGGGUUCCUGUCACCGGCUCUCUUUGGGCAAAUAUUGGCCUAUUUCAGCCCAAGGGGUCCAAUCUAUGAAAUGGAGUUCAAGCUCCCCUUGAAAAGAUGUUGGACUGGCCAGAUGAAAUUCAUCAGAGCCUCUGCCACACCAUGGGCUUUUUAAUGACGUGAGUGGCCUUCUCUACCCCAAACUCCUUCCACGACUGGGCUUAAGCAAGUCCAUUUCCCUGGCCCAUUUUCUUCUCCGUAAGAGUUUUUCCCUCAUCACACUCUCUGGCCCACUGGUAUUUCAGAUCAACCUGAACUGAUGACCAGAAUUGGACCAUCUGAAUUAAUGAUGGCGAAUUCAGAGCCUCCCGGAUUAUUCGGUCAUCCUCCUGGACUCAGUCCGUUGACUGAGUGGCAAAGGUCCCUGCCAGCAACAGCAUUUAGAGCAGGACAAGUGUGUACCCUUGGCCCGAAAAAACACUUCGUAAUGAGGAAUGGCUUCUCUUCAUGGCUCCAGCUCUGACGACACAACCAUAGGGACUUGGGGGACCCUUUUCACUGAGAAAGCACUAGGCUCUGUGCAAUCAGAAUCAUCUUAUUGGCCAGGCUCCAUAGCUCCAGGAUCCAGCUUGUGAGCUUUUUAAAGGGUCCCACAAAAAAAAUUUGAGAGCUGACAAAAACAAAAAAACAAAAACUGGUUCUGAAACACAAAACAAAAACAGCAAAAUCAAAAUAGGUAAAUGUUUAAUUAAUUGUCUUAAAAAGCUAACACUAUGUCCCAUGCCACUUCAUAAUUGUUAAAUUUAUCACUUGUGAGCAUUUCAUUGCAUUAGAAAACAGUGUGGAGGUUAUAUAUUUGCACGUGGCAUGAAUUUCCAAAUAGAUUGAGAA
Long non-coding RNA from Acinonyx jubatus (cheetah), 2841 nucleotides. RefSeq lists it as uncharacterized. Lineage: Eukaryota; Metazoa; Chordata; Mammalia; Carnivora; Felidae. The transcript has 2 exons. The record is from RefSeq and is a predicted model, not a curated record.